CCUACGGGUGGCAGCAGUGAGGAAUAUUGGUCAAUGGACGGAAGUCUGAACCAGCCAUGCCGCGUGAAGGAUGACGGCCCUAUGGGUUGUAAACUUCUUUUUUCUGGGGCUAAAACAGUCUAUGCUUACCCGCCUGUAAUUACCAUAUGAAUAAGGAUCGGCUAACUCCGUGCCAGCAGCCGCGGUAAUACGGAGGAUCCAAGCGUUAUCCGGAUUUAUUGGGUUUAAAGGGGGCGUAGGUGGAUUGUUAAUUCAGGGGUGAAAGUUCCCGGCUAAAGUGGAGAAGUGCCUUUGAUACUGGUAGUCUGGAGUGCAGAUGCGGUGGGCGGAAUGUGUGGUGUAGCGGUGAAAUGCUUAGAUAUCACACAGAACACCGAUUGCGAAGGCAGCUCACGAAUCUGCAACUGACGCUGAUGCACGAAAGCGUGGGUAUCAAACAGGAUUAGAUACCCGAGUAGUC
RNAcentral lists this ribosomal RNA (460 nucleotides) under uncultured bacterium. RNAcentral's name for it is "partial 16S ribosomal RNA". It matches the Rfam family "Bacterial small subunit ribosomal RNA", at positions 338 to 795 of the family's 1533-position model. The record is from RNAcentral.